AAUCAUCAUGCACUGUGAUUUGAUUGUGCCUUAAGAGAGAAAUUGCAAGCUUCAGCUUUGGGACUCAGGGGUGAGGAGGAAUCAAGCAAUGCCUUUGCCUACCAGGCUUGCCAGUAAAAAGGCCCCAGGUCUAAUCCCUUUCUGCUACACACCAACGAAACUUAGGAAACUCUUUGACUAUUGACUUUUUCACGUGGAAACUGAUCUGCUGAAAGUGAAAAGAAACCAUUUCUUGGAGGGGGGAAAAAAAACCUCUGUGAAACUCUGUUUUGAAAAAGUUGUCGUCCUUGGCCUGUGGAGUAGCAGCAGAAGCAAAGGCUUUUUGAUCCUCAGAUUUGUAAACUUGUAGACAUAAUAAUGCCAUUUCUCUAGUGUUAGCAGGUGUCCUGUCUGGAAGUUGCUGCCUCAGCCUCCAGCAGAGCUGGGAAUUAGAAAAUUGUCUGCCUUUCCUGAACCGUGAAGUGCUGCUCUUAAAUAAAGGCCAGGUCAGAUGUUAAAGGGACAUUCUUGUCUCCUGAAGCUGAAAUAAUCUACAGUCACAUCGAGAAAUGAAGGCAUCCUCCUCCCAAAAUGGUCAAUCUCUUUAUCUCUCAUUAUAGUCCACAGGGUCAAGAAAAAAAAAAAAACCACUUCUGAGCUGAUGUUUUGCAGUAUUUCUCCUCAGUCUGUAAUUAUCCUGGUUCUGUAUAGUUGAAUUUCAGGGAAAUAUGGUAGUUAGGAAAGUUUUAUUCUUUCCUUUUUUUUUUUUCCUCCCCCGUUGUCCUUCCUCUGAUGGAACAGUUCAGUGAGCACAGAGGAAGCUACAAAUAUAAAUUCAGUAUUUGGUCUCUGCUUCUUAAUAGCUCUCAAAUUAAAUUAAGAUUUUAAAGUUAUUAUUUAA
Pezoporus occidentalis (night parrot) is the source of this 880-nucleotide long non-coding RNA. RefSeq lists it as uncharacterized. Lineage: Eukaryota; Metazoa; Chordata; Aves; Psittaciformes; Psittacidae. The transcript is spliced from 2 exons. The record is from RefSeq and is a predicted model, not a curated record.